Molecule: long non-coding RNA, 600 nt
Filed under: Homo sapiens (human)
Lineage: Eukaryota; Metazoa; Chordata; Mammalia; Primates; Hominidae
Description: non-protein coding lnc-OPLAH-3:1
Source: RNAcentral
CGUAAACCUGUGGUCCCAGCUACUUGACAGGCUUGAACCCCCAGGAGUUUCAUGGUUGCAGUGAGCUAGGAUCACGCCACUGUACUCCAGCCUGGGCUGUGUCAAAAAAAGAGGCUGGGGCAGCAGAAUCGUUUGAAUUGAGAGGCAGAGGUUGCAGUGAGCUGGGUACAUACACUGUUGUGUACUCUUUUUCUUUUUCAGGUGGAGUCUUGGUUUGUUGCCCAGGCUGGAGUGUAAUGGCUCAAUCUCAGCUCACCCUGGGCAGGUGACAGAGCGAGAGUCCAUCUGAAAACAAACAAACAAAAUCCCACACACACAAAACUAACCCAAGGAUGCUUUAACCAGAGGCAAAGCUCCAACCUGGACCCACGCAGCUCACAGUAGCUCCCGCUUAGGCUACACACAGGCCUGCAAUCCACAGAUAAACACAGCUGGAGAGAAAAAGCAGCCGGGAAUGCAGCUGGGCUGUUUUCUCAAGAGAAGCCCAAGUGCCUGCCACACGCAUGGCACAGACGCACACUCCGGCAUGCUGGCAAAGCAUCAUCCUCCAAGUGCGUCCACAGAGGAGGCCAUCCUGGUGGCAAAGGGGGAGAGCCGCCC